RNAcentral lists this small RNA (198 nucleotides) under Cryptococcus neoformans H99. Its description in RNAcentral is "Cryptococcus neoformans var. grubii H99 hypothetical RNA". The record is from RNAcentral. Lineage: Eukaryota; Fungi; Basidiomycota; Tremellomycetes; Tremellales; Cryptococcaceae.
CGAAAUUCUUGGAUUCUUUUUCUUUUCUGUUCUCUUCGUCCUUUAUUCAGGUUUUCUAUUGUUACAAUCAACAGAUCGCAAGCGAUUACAAUAAUCGUUUCAAAGCCUCGUCUAAAUAUUUUUCAGCUGUUGAAGCGCCGGAGAAGUUCAAUCUGCUUUGCCUUGUUACUUAGAUAUUAGAUUAUCUGUGAACCACUA